GACGAACGCUGGCGGCGUGCCUAAUACAUGCAAGUUGAGCGCUGAAGGUUGGUACUUGUACCAACUGGAUGAGCAGCGAACGGGUGAGUAACGCGUGGGGAAUCUGCCUUUGAGCGGGGGACAACAUUUGGAAACGAAUGCUAAUACCGCAUAAAAACUUUAAACACAAGUUUUAAGUUUGAAAGAUGCAAUUGCAUCACUCAAAGAUGAUCCCGCGUUGUAUUAGCUAGUUGGUGAGGUAAAGGCUCACCAAGGCGAUGAUACAUAGCAGACCUGAGAGGGUGAUCAGCCACAUUGGGACUGAGACACGGCCCAAACUCCCACGGGAGGCAGCAGUAGGGAAUCUUCGGCAAUGGACGAAAGUCUGACCGAGCAACGCCGCGUGAGUGAAGAAGGUUUUCGGAUCGUAAAACUCUGUUGGUAGAGAAGAACGUUGGUGAGAGUGGAAAGCUCAUCAAGUGACGGUAACUACCCAGAAAGGGACGGCUAACUACGUG
This 497-nucleotide ribosomal RNA is filed under the name uncultured bacterium. RNAcentral's name for it is "partial 16S ribosomal RNA". It matches the Rfam family "Bacterial small subunit ribosomal RNA", at positions 28 to 507 of the family's 1533-position model. The record is from RNAcentral.